GGAUUGUGGCUUAGCGGUAGAGUGCUCGCCUAGCAUGUGCGAGGCACCUGGUUGGAUCCUCAGCACCA
RNAcentral lists this transfer RNA (68 nucleotides) under Marmota monax (woodchuck). Its description in RNAcentral is "tRNA.Ala". The record is from RNAcentral. Lineage: Eukaryota; Metazoa; Chordata; Mammalia; Rodentia; Sciuridae.